Molecule: ribosomal RNA, 444 nt
Filed under: uncultured bacterium
Lineage: Bacteria
Description: bacterial SSU rRNA
Rfam family: Bacterial small subunit ribosomal RNA
Source: RNAcentral
AACGAACGCUGGCGGCAUGCCUAACACAUGCAAGUCGAACGAGACCUUCGGGUCUAGUGGCGCACGGGUGCGUAACGCGUGGGAAUCUGCCCUUGGGUUCGGAAUAACAGUUAGAAAUGACUGCUAAUACCGGAUAAUGUCUUCGGACCAAAGAUUUAUCGCCCAGGGAUGAGCCCGCGUAGGAUUAGCUAGUUGGUGAGAUAAAGGCUCACCAAGGCGACGAUCCUUAGCUGGUCUGAGAAGAUGAUCAGCCACACUGGGACUGAGACACGGCCCAGACUCCUACGGGAGGCAGCAGUGGGGAAUAUUGGACAAUGGGCGAAAGCCUGAUCCAGCAAUGCCGCGUGAGUGAUGAAGGCCUUAGGGUUGUAAAGCUCUUUUACCCGGGAUGAUAAUGACAGUACCGGGAGAAUAAGCCCCGGCUAACUCCGUGCCAGCAGCCGC